CUUUUUCCCAGGGUAGAGGAGUCUAAAACUCUAUAAAUUUAAGGUGAGAGGGGAAAGAUUUAAAAGGGACUUUUUCACACAGAGGGUGGUGGGUACAUGGAACGAGCUUCCAGAGGAAGUGGUAGAGAUGGGUACAAUUACAAUGUUUAAAAGACAUUUGGACAGGUACACAGAUAGGAAAGGUUUAGAGGGAUUUGGGACAAAUGCAGGCAAAUGGGACUCGCUCAGGUAGGCAACUUGGUCAGCAUGGAUGAGUUGGGCCGAAGGGCCUCUUUCCAUGCUGUAUGACUCUCUGACUCUAUGACUCAACACUGCAUUCCUGUCUGGCCACACUGACCCUUCAAACCCUUUGUUAUUAUCUAUCUACCUCUGCCUUAAAAAUGUUCAAAGAUUCCGCUUCCACUGCCCGAUGAGGAAGAGACUUCCGAAGGUUCAAGGCCACCUGAGAGAAAAGAAACAUUCACCUUAUCUCUGCCGUCAGAAGUGGGAGAAGUUAGAAAUGAAACAUGUUUCAGAGACGGAGGGGAAGUGGAGAGUCUGUGACAGACUGGAGACCGAGGGACUCCAGGCAACACAAAUGAUGUUGGUGGUGUCUGAGAGAGGGUGAUGAAUGCUCGUUAAUUAUAGCUUAGCUGUCUGGAGGAGGUGUAAAUAGAGGGCGGUGAAAGAGAAUGGAGGGUAAAACCAUGCUGGAAAAUGGCACAGCUGCUGCUGGAAAUCCAAAAUAAAAGAGAGUGCUGGAAGCACCCAGCUAAUCAGGUAGUAACUGUGGGGACAGAAAAACAUGUUAGGUUGAUAUACUUCAUCAUAAUUGACCCAUUCUGACACAAACUGGAAAGGCUGGUCAUCUGAAAUUGUUGAAUUCGGUAUUGAGUCUCAGGAAGUGCAGUGUGUCCAGACAUAAGAUGAGGUUCUCUUCCUCAAACCUGCACGGUUGCAACGAAGCCCAACAUAAGAGACUAAAGACAGGUCAGAGUGGAAGUGGGAUGGUUCCAGUCACUUUGCACAUUGCCCAUCCCCCCCCCCCCACAUUUCCCUUUUUUACCUCCACCCCUGCAUGGUUUUCUCUCUUUGCCCAGCUGUGAUGAGUGGUCAUCGGACUGAAACGUUGACUGCUUGCCUCUCCACUGACGUUACCUGACCUGCCGAAUGUUUCCAACCUUAGGACAUAGAGCAUAGAACUGUGCAGCUCAGGAAUGACUGUGCCAAAGAUGAUGCCAAACAAAACCACUCCCAUCUGCUUGCACAUGAGCCCUCUCCCCUCUAUUCCCUUCAUGUUUAUGUGUUUAUCUGAAAGUGUCUUAAAUGCCACUAUCAUGUCAGCUUCCACCACCACACCUGGCAGUGUGUUCCAGGUAGGUACCACUCUCUGUGCUAAAAAACUUUGCCUGUACAUCUCCUAUAACCUCUCCUCCUCUCACCUUAAAGCUAUGCCCUCUAGUAUUGUACAUUUCCACCCUGGUAAAGAGACUUUGAAAGAGACCCUAUCUCUGCCUCUCAUAAAUUUAUAAACUUUCAGUCUCCCCUCAGCCUCCAGCGCUCCAGAGAAAACAAUCCAAGUUUGUCUAACCUCUCCUUAUAGCUCAUGCCUUCUAAUCCAAGCAACAUCCUGAUAAACCUCUUCUGCACCCUCUACAAAGCCUCCACAUCCUUCCAGUAAUGGGGCGACCAGAACUGCACGCAAUACUCCAAAGUGCGACCAGCCAAAGUUUCAUACUGCGGCUUCUGUCUUUAUUUCAGAUUGCCAGCACCUGCUGUUUUUUGCUUUUAUUUCACAUCCAAGUUCAUCGAGUCUGUGGAGUCGGACAGCACAGAAACAGGUCCUUCGGCCCAACUGGUCCAUGCUGAUGAAGAUGCCCCAUCCAGGCUAGUCCCAUUUGCCAGCUUUUGGCCCAUAACCUUAAAUUAAAUUUAAAUUUUAUUUACAGCGUGGUAACAGGCCCUUUCGGCCCAACGAGUCCGUGCCGCCCAUUUUAAACCCCCAAAUUAACCUACCCGUGCGUCUUUCCGAAUGUGGGAGGAAACCCACACAGACACGGGAGAACGGCUUCAAAAGCUUUCUGAUCCAUGUACCUGGACUUGGAACAGCCUUUGAUGAGGAAUUUACCAGGUUGCUGACAGUUGAUUCAAAGUUUAAGAUCAGGAGAAUUUGUCCCAAAACUACUCGCCAAUUUAAUUACAUUCCAAAAAGGAUCCUAGUGUUGGCCAUUGAUGGAAUUGAUCGCCAAGGAAUCUGGCCGUCCAGUUGCAGAGACUCCUUUGUGAUUACUUUUUCUCUCCACACUAUUUCCUCAGGCUCCGUCCUUUUGCCCGCCCAUCUGCUGCUCUUCAGUGGCACUGUCCGAAAACACGUGCCAGCUCAUCACCCCCUCUCUCCGUCUUUCCAUCGGCAGAGGAGUGAACGGGUGGUGCAGCAGUUACCCCUGCUUCCCCACAGCUCCAGUGACCCCAGCUCCAUCUUCACCUCCGCCCCUGUCAGUGUGAAGUCUGCAUGUUCAACGCUAUUACAGUGCCAGUGACAUGGGUUCAAUUCCCGCCACUGUCUGUAAGGAGUUUGUACGUCCUCCCCGUGUGACUGAGUGGGUUUCCUCCGGGUGCUCCGGUUUCCUCCCACAUUCCAAAGACGUACAGGUUAGGAAGUUGCGGGCGCGCUACGUUGGCGCCGGAAGCGUGGCGACACUUCAGGCUGCCAGCAGAACGCUCUACGCAAAAGCUGCAUUUCACUGUGUGUUUUGAUGUACAUGUGACUAAUAAAGAAAUCUUAUCUUACCGCAUGGGUUUCCCCAAGUACUCUGGUUUUCUGAGGACAUGUUCCGACAUUAAUUGGCUACUGGAAAUUUCCCCCUUAGUGUUAGGUAAGAGGCAGGAAAACAGGAGGGGAGUUAAUGGGCAUCUGAGAGGAAUCAAAAAAUAACCUCAAAUUUGCUCACCGUUCAUUGUUAUCACAGCUUCAGGUUUUGCUAUGGAGUCAUAGUGAGCUACAACACGGUCCUGAGCAUCAACCACCCACUUUACACUAAUCCAACAUCAAUCCCAGAAUCCCAUCAACUCCCCCUAGAUUCUACCCCUCGCCUACACACUAGGAGCAAUUUACAGCAGUAUAUUAACCUACUGAACUGCAUGUCAUUGGGAUGAGGGGGGAAACCCACACGAUCACUGGGAGAAUACGCAAACUUCACACAGACACUGCCUGAGGUCAGGAUCGAACUCUGGCUUUUGGCGCUUUGAGGCAGCAGCUCUACCAGCUGUGCCACGUGCCUUUAUGUUGAGGUGAAUAUUCUAAAAAUGAAUUAGAAGAGAAAAGUGACAGGUCCCAAUAGAAAAAAAAGUUUUAUUUUCAAUAAAGAAACCAAGGAUGAAAAUGUGCUUGAUAAGGAUAAGGGGAAAAUGAUAGGGCUAUGAAGUAAGAGCACAGGUGCGAGAUCAUCUUAGAAAUAUGAGAUAAUUUCAGUAAAUCUAAAUGGUCAGAUGUGCUGAUUGAUUCCUUGUGAUAUUCUAAGCUCCUGUUACAUGUGUAAUGAAUCAGAGCUACUGAUGGUCUAUGCUGUCUAAUAAGGUUAAUCACUGAAUGGUAAAUUAUUCCAAUUGCAUAAAAUACAACUCCAAGUAAUCAAAUCUUUGUCAAGUGUGCAAAGAUACCUACAAAUCCUCUUGUUUAAUUUUUAAACAUCUACUGGUGAUAUACAGAUUGUACACUAGGACAUAUUGUAAACAGCAUACAAAGAGUGAUUUUUGUGUCAGUUCAGGCUGAAGCAAUGAAGUAAAUUAUAAUGACAUAAUAAAUAAUUCAAUGAAAAAAAUGCAA
Molecule: long non-coding RNA, 3805 nt
Organism: Pristis pectinata (smalltooth sawfish)
Lineage: Eukaryota; Metazoa; Chordata; Chondrichthyes; Rhinopristiformes; Pristidae
Exons: 2
Source: RefSeq, a predicted model, not a curated record